Molecule: ribosomal RNA, 497 nt
Filed under: uncultured bacterium
Lineage: Bacteria
Description: partial 16S ribosomal RNA
Rfam family: Bacterial small subunit ribosomal RNA
Source: RNAcentral
GAUGAACGCUGGCGGCGUGCCUAAUACAUGCAAGUCGAGCGAACAGACGAGGAGCUUGCUCCUCUGACGUUAGCGGCGGACGGGUGAGUAACACGUGGAUAACCUACCUAUAAGACUGGGAUAACUUCGGGAAACCGGAGCUAAUACCGGAUAAUAUAUUGAACCGCAUGGUUCAAUAGUGAAAGACGGUUUUGCUGUCACUUAUAGAUGGAUCCGCGCCGCAUUAGCUAGUUGGUAAGGUAACGGCUUACCAAGGCAACGAUGCGUAGCCGACCUGAGAGGGGGAUCGGCCACACUGGAACUGAGACACGGUCCAGACUCCUACGGGAGGCAGCAGUAGGGAAUAUUCCGCAAAGGGCGAAAGCAUGACGGAGCAACGCCGCGUGAGUGAUGAAGGUCUUCGGAUCGUAAAACUCUGUUAUUAGGGAAGAACAAAUGUGUAAGUAACUAUGCACGUCUUGACGGUACCUAAUCAGAAAGCCACGGCUAACUACGUG